Molecule: unclassified non-coding RNA, 339 nt
Filed under: soil metagenome
Description: partial contains 5.8S ribosomal RNA, internal transcribed spacer 2, and large subunit ribosomal RNA
Rfam family: 5.8S ribosomal RNA (bases 1-120)
Source: RNAcentral
GAUGAAGAACGCAGCGAAAUGCGAUACGUAGUGUGAAUUGCAGAAUUCAGUGAAUCAUCGAAUCUUUGAACGCACAUUGCACCUCUCGGUAUUCCGGGAGGUAUGCCUGUUCGAGCGUCAUUUGUACCCUCAAGCUCUGCUUGGUGUUGGGUGUUUGUUCCGCCUCUGUGUGUGAACUCGCCUCAAAACAAUUGGCAGCCAGCGUACUUGUUUCGGAGCGCAGCACAUUUUGCGAUCCAGAUCAACGUACAGCGGCAUCCAAGAAGCCUUAUUUAACGCUCUUGACCUCGGAUCAGGUAGGGAUACCCGCUGAACUUAAGCAUAUCAAUAAGCGGAGGA